RNAcentral lists this ribosomal RNA (372 nucleotides) under uncultured organism. Its description in RNAcentral is "bacterial SSU rRNA". It matches the Rfam family "Bacterial small subunit ribosomal RNA", at positions 526 to 896 of the family's 1533-position model. The record is from RNAcentral.
CAGAGGGUGCGAGCGUUGUUCGGAAUUAUUGGGCGUAAAGGGAGUGUAGGCUGUUUGGAAAGUCUUCUGUGAAAUCUACGGGCUUACCCUGUAAAGUGCAGAGGAAACUACCAGGCUUGAGUGUCGGAGAGGACAGGGGAAUACCCAGUGUAGAGGUGAAAUUCGUAGAGAUUGGGUGGAACACCAGUGGCGAAGGCGCCUGUCUGGCUGACAACUGACGCUGAGACUCGAAAGCAUGGGGAGCAAACAGGAUUAGAUACCCUGGUAGUCCAUGCCGUAAACGACGAUAGCUAGAUGUGUGAGGUAUUGACCCCUUACGUGUCGAAGUCAACACGAUAAGCUAUCCGCCUGGGGAGUACGGUCGCAAGAUUA